RNAcentral lists this ribosomal RNA (253 nucleotides) under uncultured bacterium. RNAcentral's name for it is "partial 16S ribosomal RNA". It matches the Rfam family "Bacterial small subunit ribosomal RNA", at positions 524 to 776 of the family's 1533-position model. The record is from RNAcentral.
UACGUAGGGUGCAAGCGUUGUCCGGAAUUAUUGGGCGUAAAGAGCUCGUAGGCGGUUUGUCACGUCUGCUGUGAAAUUUCGAGGCUCAACCUCGAACUUGCAGUGGGUACGGGCAGGCUAGAGUGCGGUAGGGGAGAUGGGAAUUCCUGGUGUAGCGGUGGAAUGCGCAGAUAUCAGGAGGAACACCAAUGGCGAAGGCACAUCUCUGGGCCGUAACUGACGCUGAGGAGCGAAAGCGUGGGGAGCGAACAGG